This 259-nucleotide unclassified non-coding RNA is filed under the name Hevea brasiliensis (rubber tree). Lineage: Eukaryota; Viridiplantae; Streptophyta; Magnoliopsida; Malpighiales; Euphorbiaceae. The record is from RNAcentral.
AAAUUAAAUUUGUAAGAUGAAUAUGCCAUUCUUGUUGGUCUCUCUCUAACCAGUAGAGAGAGAAUUUUCCUCUCCUCUCGUUCUUCUUCUCCUAAAGCACUUGGCCUCUGCCCUUACCGACCAGCGGCCUCCUCUGCCCCAUCAGGGCAGGGGGGACUUCAUCCCCUAUCCUGGAAGUGGGUUAUGUCCUCCCCCACUCGGGCGGGGUUUGUGCAUAAAUAAUGUUGUUUUCGCGUUUUUGUGAUAGAUCCAGCGCCAA